Molecule: ribosomal RNA, 482 nt
Filed under: uncultured bacterium
Lineage: Bacteria
Description: bacterial SSU rRNA
Rfam family: Bacterial small subunit ribosomal RNA
Source: RNAcentral
AGGAUGAACGCUGGCGGCGUGCUUAACACAUGCAAGUCGAACGAAGCACUUUACUACGAUUUCUUCGGAAUGACGGUUUUGUGACUGAGUGGCGGACGGGUGAGUAACGCGUGGGUAACCUGCCUCAUACAGGGGGAUAACAGUUGGAAACGGCUGCUAAUACCGCAUAAGCGCACAGUACCGCAUGGUACCGUGUGAAAAACUCCGGUGGUAUGAGAUGGACCCGCGUCUGAUUAGCUAGUUGGUGGGGUAACAGCCUACCAAGGCGACGAUCAGUAGCCGACCUGAGAGGGUGACCGGCCACAUUGGGACUGAGACACGGCCCAAACUCCUACGGGAGGCAGCAGUGGGGAAUAUUGCACAAUGGGCGAAAGCCUGAUGCAGCGACGCCGCGUGAGCGAAGAAGUAUUUCGGUAUGUAAAGCUCUAUCAGCAGGGAAGAUAAUGACGGUACCUGACUAAGAAGCACCGGCUAAAUACGUG